Molecule: long non-coding RNA, 3893 nt
Organism: Siniperca chuatsi (mandarin fish)
Lineage: Eukaryota; Metazoa; Chordata; Actinopteri; Centrarchiformes; Sinipercidae
Exons: 2
Source: RefSeq, a predicted model, not a curated record
GAAGAGCAUGAUAAACUAACACUGAGAAUAUCAAAAGUUCAUCAAGUGCAGUAAGGUGUGAAAUGACAAACACAAUAAGUCCUGUGUUAUUGAUACUGUCAGUCCAAAUACAUUUGAAGAAAUGACCUGUAUGUCUGGGGACUUGGGUGGCAGGAUUCUGGGAGGAACAAGGCCCCUGGGAUUUGUCACUCCUACUGGGGCUUCUCCGAUUAAUCCCAAAAGCAAAAUUAAAAAGUACGCCUGGAAGAUGCUCCAUCCCUUUGUGAGUCCAAGCAAACAGAAAUGCUGUUUAAUGAAAUGUGACAGCUGCAUGAUAAAAGACACAGCUGUUGCCUCAUGGCUGAUAUUGAGGAGAUCACUUCUCCUUAAAGUGUUGCUUUACUUUUGUUAAUAUAUAUUUUUUUUGUUUCAGCAGGUGACCACCAAGUCUAUUGGAUCUGACUACAACAGUAAAUGUCCAGCAGAGGGAGACACACGCUGACAGAAGGGAAGUCACAGAUGGACUUUUUUACUGCAGCAUCCUCCUAAAUGAUGUGUAAAUCAGCACGCCAAGUUCAUUUCCUGCGCCCCAGUAACUUUCCAGGAAAAAAUGGUAAUUAGCUUGCCAUGCUGACUGGUGAAGGACCCAGACAACAGUUGCUGUAUCUCAGUGUCUCAGUCAUGCAGCCCUGGAGCUUCAGUGCUCACAUUCCUCUCGUCGGUCUCCCUAACUACUGCCUUUCUCAUAUUACAUUCUAGUAUCAAACUCCUGAUUGGUAUCACAGAUGUGUUUAGAAUGUUCCUUUAUUCGUUUUUGCCUGGAAAGCAUUUACAUUUUUUUCUGUUAACGAGUGUCAAAAAUGUAAUUACAUUUUGUACAAAAUAUAUAAAAUGAAACAACGUCCAAAGGGGAGCAAAUACUUUCGACAGGCACUUUGUCUGUGCUCAUGAUUAAACAUCAUUUACAGGUUGAUACAUUCGCUAAAAAGAGGGAGAGAUGCUCCAUGUCCAGUGUCCCUACGGGUCUAGACACAAACAGCUAGCAUGAUCCUGAAAAUACCCUGCUGAGUCACUCUACAAGGAGCUCUACUGAGUAAAGUACCUUUGAUUCAUAUCCAAAGUAGAAUUACAUCAGAACAUAAUAUAGGUAUUAUCCAACAGUAACUUUUAAUGGGUUAAUUAGAGCAAGACUGCAGGUGUAAAAGGAAACUUGUCUGUUUAACACCACAGAGGAUGAAAACCCAUAUUUAAGCAAAGGCCUAUUCACAGCGAGAAUUGUUACACAAGGGUCAUGUGCAUGAAGCAAAGUACUGCUAACUGCUAAAAAUGACAAUAGCUGGACGAAGACCAGGAUUGCUUAAAAUCGCUUGAGACGAAUUUACCACAAGUGACGCAGUUGUAUCUUCCAUUUGUUUUUUGUAACCAAGUCACUGCUUAAAUUAAUGCAGUAUGCGUGUGUGUAUAAAUAACUAAGUGCCUCAAUUAUAUAAAACCCUGCAGAAGUUUCACUUGACAUUUUUUCUGGCUGCUGUGUCAGAGUUUGGCCAUGUAUUAAUAAGAACAAACUGUUCAGAAAAAAAUGUAUAUCAAACAAUGAAAAGUCCUUUAUUGCCAUCAGAACAUGAGUGAGAAAACCAGAGACAAAAUCUGACAGAGUGAGGAGUCGACUGUACAACCAGCAUCUGCACGCACACACACACACACACACACACGCACGCACGCACGCACACACACACACACACACACACACAAAGCAGCCAGCAGUCUCUCAACAGGACAUGAGGGAUACAGAUACAUAAGGAAAUACAGUACUCACACAAUGAGGUAUAAAGGUAAACACAAACAUACCAGGGCUUCUUCCUCCACUCACACACAUGCAACUGAACCAAGGUACAAAUACUCAAGUGCUCGUUCAUUCUUUAAAAACACAACAUACAUGUGAGCAGAAAUGUAUAAGAGCAGCAACUGGGUCAUCUCGAUUCAACCACACUGCCAUUCAUCUGUCUCUCAAAACCUUUGGUCAUGUGGACGCUUGCUUGUCAUGCACAAUGUUGCCCUUGUAAUUUUAAUACUUUGUGAGACUCUGAAACUUGUGAGCGAAGGAAUGGGUCCCUUCCUGACUCGCAUCCACCGAUAGAAACUGGGACGUUCUGGGCAGAUGAGAAAUGUUUUUGAAGUCACAAAUAUUUUCUCGCUCUUCAAGGUAGAGUUUCUACGUUAGUUGGACAUUCAAUGUGUACAUUAGCAGCAAUUCUAGUGAAUGAAACAAUGGCUUUGUAAGUCAGAUUAAUAACACCCUUUCCUCAUGCACAGGACAGGCACCACCUACUACUCGUUAACUAAAUGCCAUGCAAGUUAGAAAAAUAGACUGCAAACUCACAAGACAGAGAAAUCAAAGUUCAUCUCCAGAGAAGAGGUUGAUUUCACUUCAGUUUUUUAUUUCAUAUUUUCUAAGAUGUGGAAAUAGCAACAAAAAAAACUUGAGAGCGGUAACCAAGACAACAGUAACAACAUGAGCAGAGAGCCACUGAGGUUUCGAGUCCCUCUCUUACUCUAUUUGCCAACCCAAACUGCCAGGUACAAGACAGACACUUGGCUUGUUUACAGUUUUCUGUUGCGGUCCUCUACUUUGCGCCACGCGGGCGACCACGUCGACUUACACGCACCUGGUGUGUAUGCCUAUUGUGUGUACCUGUAAGUGUGGGCCUGUGUGUCAUGUGGCUCUCAUGUCAUUUGAAGCUGUCCCAAUCCCACAGUCCGCAGUCUCCAGGCCCUCCCCCACUAGCAGCACCCGUCCCAGAAAGGUGGUCGCCCUCGUGUGCAUCCGGAGCUGCGUGCUGCAGUGCUUUAUCAAGACACUAGUGUGGCUGGAAGCUAGCACCGCCACCCCCUCCGAAACAGAGAAAGAGGCACGGUAUAGUUCUCUUUAAGUCUAAAUCUAUAGUUCAAGUCUGCCGUCUGUCUGGUCUCAGCUAGUUCUGUUUACAAGGCUGUACGGGUGCCACCCUGGACCCUCGAAAGACCUAAAACAGGUGAGAGGAGGAAGUGACACAUCACCUGACACCCCCUCAGUCCUGUUGAUAAAUAGAGAUGCCUCACUAUGCAUGACCCGCCCAGGGCUGCGUUGCAUUUCAUUACCUCACCCCUUCCAGUUUAGUUUUGUGGAUGCCAAAUAUCUCAACUGUGCACACACAAACACACGCAUACUUCCGCGCGCACUGACCCCCGACGCUGUCCAUUCUACUCGGAACGAGGACAAGCGCCUUGAAUUUCGUGUUUGGCACCAGACUUCUUUUUCCUCACGUUGGCCAGCCACUCCCUCUUUUACUGUAUCCUCUUUUCACUCAUUUCACUCAUCACUCCCUCACAGGUCUGUUCUUCUUGGAACCCCAAAAAAAAAAAAAAAAAAAAAAAAAAAAAAAACCUGGAAGAACACCGCUCCCUCUUUUCUGCCUCUCAGGAAACAAAUACAAACUUAAUGAAAAAACUCAAGUUUUUUUUAUUAUUUUUUUUUUUUCAAAUUCAAGGCACAAUGUCUAUCAAUAUUCCAAUCUGUCUGUCUGUCUGUCUGUCUUCACUCCCAGGUACAGUGUGCGAACAUCGCGUCACAUAAGCUAUUGGACUAUCUGCUUGUACGCAACUCCUUACAGCUUACAUCUCCCUCGUCUGUACUUUAACACUGUUAAGAGAAGCGUCUGUUUUGGUUGAGAGAGCGACCGCCAAGUCCAAACCAGUGAUAACCAAUGAACAAAAUUAACAUAACAAAAAACACAAAUAAAGACAACCGUUUCAAAAACAAAACAAAAAAAAAGUCUCGUCCUGUUUCUCGUAUUUCAGUAUUUUUAAAAAUCAAGUCAUAUCCACCAGCUCUUUUUUGGCAAGCUAGUUGUUUUUUUUAAAUAAGCACUAAGUAC